This 606-nucleotide ribosomal RNA is filed under the name Triticum aestivum (bread wheat). RNAcentral describes it as "partial small subunit ribosomal RNA". Lineage: Eukaryota; Viridiplantae; Streptophyta; Magnoliopsida; Poales; Poaceae. The record is from RNAcentral.
AUGGACAUCGACGAGGAGCAUGGUGACGCGGAAACCGCGGAUGCAGCCACCUCUUGGGAAGCACCAAUGGAUAUUAUCCAGCUUCCUGACGAUGAAGACGAGGAUGUGCCUCCGAAAAAUGUUGGGAGGAGAGGCAGAACUUUGAGCAAGAGGGUACCUGGAGCCAGAACGCCUCGCUCGGCAUCUGAACCCGUGGUCCAACAACUCAACGAUCCAGUACGAGCUUCAAUCUCCUUUGCCAAUCCUUUGUCAACUGACCAACCCUCAACGUCGACUGCUCAAGCUCCAGACCCGAUUAUGCAAGUUCAGGCUUCUACUCCACCGGCCACGCCACCUAUUCCAACAUCUCUUAUAUUUGCUACGCAUCACGUCUCGGAGGACCAAGUAGGGGCUGCCAAGGAGGCCAUGAUUCAGGCAGGUCUGAUGAUGGACCGGCUGAAGGUGGUGUAUGACACCAGCAAGGCUGCCUAUGACGCGAGCUCUGCUCUCCAAGCCAAUGCCCGAAAAUCUUGUGAGCUUGGGACUCAAUAUGCUGCUUUGGAACAGGAGAAAAUCCAACUCAAGCUCGACCUGGAUCAGGCCAAGGAGAACUUGAAGAAGGCUUAG